Panthera uncia (snow leopard) is the source of this 446-nucleotide long non-coding RNA. RefSeq lists it as uncharacterized. Lineage: Eukaryota; Metazoa; Chordata; Mammalia; Carnivora; Felidae. The transcript is spliced from 4 exons. The record is from RefSeq and is a predicted model, not a curated record.
AGAAAAGAGCCAGAAAUCCCCGAUGUGGCGGCAACUGCGGCGGUGUCUCCUCUGCGACCGGAACUAACGCGAGGAGGAGGGAAGAGCUUCUAGAGAUUGCCUACCGCAAGACCUGGCUUUUCAGGAGUUCGAACCCUAAUAAACAAGGUAGAGCUGGGAGCAGGUUGCUUUUCCUUUACACGAGAGAAUGAACACCUGCUCAGAGAACUGAGGUUAAAAAGGCCAGAGUACAAAUGCUUCCUGUGCCCCAGACCCAUGGGAGAGAAACAGGAGGAUCCACGGAGCAAUGUGUAUCAGUUUGGAUUAACAAACCAUCUUUUCACUUGUGAAAAACUGAAACACCUGGAAAAAAAAAAAAGAAAGGAGAGUAAUUAUAAAAGUGUGCAAAUUCCCCAGCUUUUGCAUGCAAGGAAAACAAUAAGUAGUUGAAAACUUGGAUUGGUAAG